Molecule: ribosomal RNA, 253 nt
Filed under: uncultured bacterium
Lineage: Bacteria
Description: partial 16S ribosomal RNA
Rfam family: Bacterial small subunit ribosomal RNA
Source: RNAcentral
GACAGAGGGUGCAAACGUUGUUCGGAAUUACUGGGCGUAAAGCGCGUGUAGGCGGCCAUCUAAGUCGGGCGUGAAAUCCCACGGCUCAACCGUGGAAGUGCACUCGAAACUGGAUGGCUAGAGUCCUGGAGAGGAAGGUGGAAUGCUUGGUGUAGAGGUGAAAUUCGUAGAGAUUGGGUGGAACACCAGUGGCGAAGGCGCCUGUCUGGCUGACAACUGACGCUGAGACUCGAAAGCAUGGGGAGCAAACAGG